GGUUCCCAUUGACCAUGAAGCCCACUAUCUCCAUUAUUGCUUUGCCUUGCGGAUUUUAGGCCUCAGAAAUGAGACCUUUCUAGCCUCUGGAGUCCUAUGCUGUCCUUGUUGUCCACCCGUACAAAGACCUUUACCCAUUUUGCUUAAGAGUUUACGAGACUUUCCAAAAAAUGCACUUGCGUAUACAAUCCUGAAGACUGCAAAGCACGUGGAAUCAGACUCACAGCAAGACUGUCUCCUUCCGGCCCAGUUGCAAGGCCUCUGUAGUCUUCCUUUGGCAGGAAGCCAUGCAGACAUGACGGAGACCUUGGAUAAAUGUGGAGGGAAGCGUUAGAGGCUGUAAAUGCCAGGGUGUGUAUGUAUUUCUGCUUGUGUGUGGAGGGGUACCAUUUGUUGAUAGCAAAGGGCAAAGAAAGUAACAAACAAAAGGAUUCUCUCCCAUGGAGCUUCAGGAAUUUAUAUUGGCUCAUAACCCUUUGAGAACAAGCGCCCCGAGCAAGCUGGCACCACAUGAGAAACUAAACUGAUAGCACAGUGCCCUUUUGCAUUUUAGAGCGGGAUCACUAUGUACUAAGGGAACCGUGCCACUGAUUACCAAUUAAUCAUGCUCUAAAAGCUUCACAAGUGAAGAAUCCCACAGGCACUUCUUUCUUAAAGAGGCAAAGGCACUGAGGAGCACAGAUGGGGCAGGGAGGGAGAAAGAAGCACAGAGGGAACCACCAAAUCGAGGACAUGCAAAAUUUGCUUGGCAUUUGGAAUCUCAUUAUUAUGCUCAUUGUUUUUGAAGAGUUUUUCUUUUAAAAAAAAAUAAUAACAACUCAUAGGAAUGCAAGAGGCAAUGGCUGCGGCAAACAAUAAUGUGAGCAGGCAUUAUCCACAGCGGGGCCUUCUGUACAUGUGUAGCCCCUCGUCAUUUUGAUUUAUAGCUGCUCUUGCUGCUUUCUUAUAGCUGAUGAGGUUCUACCAUUCCACCACCCGUGUUUCAGUUCUGGAUUGAUUUCAGACUGAUAAAACUGUGAUGCCCCUUUUCUCACAUGCUUAAGGAUACUGUUUUUCCACGAUGCGCCUUGCCCCUGCCAGUGCCCCUGUCAGUCUUGCCAAGUGGCACCACUGGUUACUGCAGCCUAGCUCUUGGUGUUAUUGGAGGCAGUAGCCUAUGCUUCUGCAUGCAUGCAGUUCUGUAUGGCUUUUCUGGAUGAUGUGGGGUGGGGAGAACACAACAACACUGCUUUGACCCAAAUGUUUUUCGUUAUGUGGUGUAAAAGGGAAGUAACCUUUCUCACUUGCAGAUAGGCUCACAUUUCUCUGAAGGGGUAAAUGUGUACAGUGGUACCUCUACUUACAUUCACCUCUGGUUAUGUAUCCUUUGGGAUACGUGCGCGGCAAACCCAGAAGUAUUUUUCUGGGUUUCGCCGCACGCGCAGAAGCGUUAAACCGUGCCACACACAUACGCAGAAGUGGCACCUCCGGAUACACACAGCUCAGGAUCUGACUGGAGCUCCGGGACAGAUCCCGUGUGCAACCGGAGGUACCACUGUACUCUUGAGUUGGUGAGAGGGGAGCACUCAUCUUCCAAAGAACAUAGGAAGCUUCUUAAUACUGAGUCAGAUCUUUGGUUUAUUGGAAUCAGAUUUAUCUUCCCACUGACUGGUAUGGGUAGGGGAUGAAUUUAAUUAUGUUCACAUUUAAAGAAGAAUCUGCCUAAUUCACACUUCCUGAAAAGCAGCCUUUCUUCGAAAUUUGCAGUUUUCUGAAUUUUGCAAUGUAGUUCCCAGCUAUGUAAUAUGUACAAAGAUGCAUAUACUGGGGUAAAGUGUUGAUAAAAAUACAAAUAUUAAUCAAAAUAAUAUACAGAAAUUCAGCAUUUUUAUGGGGAAUUGUUUUGCAAAAAUGUACAUGUUGGGCAAAAUCGCAUUAAAAUGGAUAUAUUUAGCAAAAUUUGCAUCAAAAUGGUGAUUAAUUUUCAUGCUUAAAAAAAAUUUGCACACUGAUGUGGAAACAUGGAGCAUUGAACUUCAGACUGUAAAAAAGCCCCAGAAAGAAAUGGAGAAAGAGAAAUUGAAAUUGACAGAUUUGCCUAACUCUGCUGAGGGGCAGCGGCUCUCCAGGAUUUCAGACAAGAUCCUUGUCAAGCCCUACCUGGGGAUUUUUGGGGUGGGAUGUGGAACUUUCUGCAUGCAGUGCAUGGACUCUACAGAAGAGCUAUUGCCAAGGAUGUGGGAAAGGAGAAAAGGCUCAUUUACAAGAUAUUAAUUCAGAUCAGAGUAGGAAAGGGUGAUAAACAAAAGUUAGGGGUGUGCCAUGGAGGAAAUAAAACAUAAAAUACAGCCUGAUCCAUUUGCUGCAUGUUAACUUAGAGGAAGUUUGCCAGGCCUUGCUCCCAGGUAAGGGUUGAAGUUUCAGAAAUGCAUCUCUGUGAUGUGGUGAGCUGUUGGCAUGGGGAAGCUAUUUUCACACGUGGGCAAUUUCAAAUGAGUGCCUCCCAAUGUGAAGGAAGAUGUGAGGCAUGCCCUACAUGGAUCGGUUCUCGUGCUUUAGGAGAAAGAUGGACAGUUGUACUAACUUUGCAGGUCAUCCAUGAGAGACUGCGACUGGCUCAAGGUCGAGGAGUGUUACAUCUGAAGAAGUGGAAAUUUUCAUCUUGGUUUAUAGAGGCUCCAUAGCCCAAGGGCUUGAGAAUACUCACUCUAAAAAUAAGUGGGCUGACUGAGUCUGAUUGAGAUUAGGACUCUCCAAAGCCAGAAGAAUCAAGUUUUUAUUCAAGCGGUAUUUUAUUUCUAUUUGCCUCAGGAGCCAGGGAUCAGAUUAUUUGCCCAUUUGCUUGUACAGUUUGGUUCCAUGACACAGUAGUCAAAAUGUCAUGAAUUGCCCACUUUCCUCCUUCUUGGGCUGGCAGCCUUUGUGCCUCUACAAAAGUGGCAUUAAUGAAAGCCAGUAAGGAAAAGGAAUGGCCUGUGUGAUAUGCUACAGAAGACUGGCAAAGAGCCAGAGUACAAAAGGGAAGAGCUUUUGCUCCUGACUUAGAGCAUCCAAUUUUCUCAUAAAUAGUGUGUGGUUCUUGGAUGGGCGGAAGGCACCUCAUGGUGGUUGAGCUGACUUGCCAUUCCACCACCCAAAAUAUACAGAAAAAGCUCCUUUGGUGAUGCUCAGUUUGCCAAGCAAAUCUGCCACUUCUAAUUGUCCGUCUUUAAUUCCUUUUCCUGUUGCCCAGCUCAACAAACAAGUCUCCUGAUAACUGCAAGUCCCAUUAUUCAGAAGUCUUUGGGUAUCCACAGUCCUGACAAAUGGCCAGGGCCUGUUGUUUUGAGGGUUAGGCUCAUAAGCCGCAGAAAAAAGCAGCAUAAUGGUUGGCACAAUGGGUCAGCGCAGUGGUUGCUUGUGUAACCCAGCCUUCAGACAGGGUCCGGCUGCCCAGAAAGUUCACAGUCAGGGCAUGAUAAUGGCAAAAGUUAGAUGCUUGGGCAUGGAAGGAUCCAUGAGUUUAACUAUUCUCCAAGCAUUUUUCUCAAAAAGAAAUUUAAGUUGCUGUCUUACAGCAACUGUAAUUUACGCCUUACAUUUUUAUCUCAUCUUUCUCUAAAGAAUUCAGCCAGAGCAACAUACAUGGUUCUCUCAGCCCACACCCCUUUUAUCCUCACAACAAACCCCAUGAAGUAGGCUAGGGUGAGAAGCAGUGACUAGCCCAAGGUAGCACUGUGUGCUUAAUGGUGGAAUAGGAUUUGAACCCAGCUAUCAAUAUUCUGACAUUCUAACCAUUACGCCCCACUGGUUCUCAUGCAUUGUUCAAAGGAGUAUUUCUGUUUUAUCAAAAGCCCUCCUGCCUAUGGACUGGACAACCCCAUCAUAUUUUCAGAUUCCUUCUAAUUAUAUACUCUUGGAGCCCAUAUUUCAAACCUCUACAAUAUUCCCGCUUAGUUGUCUUGUUUCUGCUCUAAAAAGUCCCAACCAUUUCCACCUUCCUUUGUACCAAAGAUGAUCCAUUCCCUUAGAUUGUUUUGAUUACGCUCCCUAAGGCAGACCAUUUAGGGCCAUUGCAAAAGGAGAGAAAAUGACCGGUCAUUUGGGUGGCAAUUCUUUGUGUCCAUUUACUUGGGAGUAAGCCCUGGUGAAUUCCGUGGGGAUCAGUAGAGAUCCCUAGGAUUGCCCUGUUGUUUUGUCACUUUGCAUUUUCUCCCCACAAGAGUGGUGUGGCGUGGCAACAUUUGCAUUCUUUGCCUCAGACUCCAGGAUGCCUUAGGCCAUCUCUUCCUGCUUCUGGAGACUGGACUUUCUGCCAAAACAUUAACCCUCUGAUACUGGAAACAUCUGUGUGCUUUCAUUUGGCAGAGGAGACCAGCAUGGUAUUUUUAACUUUCUCAGUGGACCUUCACAGAUGCUCAGUUCUUCCUCAGGAACAUAAGUAUAAUUGGGAUGCGUCAGCUACUCAGACAGCUUUCCCAGGAACACAUGCAGUGCACCCACACAGACCCUGCAUUCAAGGAAAAAUACGCCCUGUACCUCUACAUAUAUGAAUGGUGCUCUUCAGGAACUGUCUGGGCAUUCCUCCUGCCAGCACGGCUGUUCCGUCAAUCGCACCACUGAGCUUUACCAGCACCACAUGACAAAUAAAGCAAACAGGCAGAAACAGAUCAACUUCACUGGAUAAUGCAAAAUAGUUGUGGGAGAGAGAAGAGUUGGGUUAUUUUACGGAUCAGCAAUGCACUUUAUAAUAUUAUUUUUAUCAUUAUCAUACUGCUUAAUUGCCUAUGUGACUUUUAAGUGGCUUACAAGAAUAAAACACAUUACAAAAAAAUAUAAACGCACAUAAUUUAAAAUAUGCAAUAAAACCAGUUCACCCAAACGUUAAAUUAGACACCCAC
Non-coding RNA from Podarcis lilfordi (Lilford's wall lizard), 4859 nucleotides. NCBI's taxonomy places the organism in Eukaryota, Metazoa, Chordata, Lepidosauria, Squamata, Lacertidae. The record is from the annotation of a GenBank genome assembly.